Long non-coding RNA from Populus euphratica (Euphrates poplar), 413 nucleotides. RefSeq lists it as uncharacterized. The transcript has 2 exons. NCBI's taxonomy places the organism in Eukaryota, Viridiplantae, Streptophyta, Magnoliopsida, Malpighiales, Salicaceae. The record is from RefSeq and is a predicted model, not a curated record.
UUAAAAACUAUUACCAUAUAAAUACCAAAAACGACACCAUAAACGACGAUGGUGGCGUGCUUAAGCAGGCGAGUGGUGCCUUCUGGUCCCCGUGAUUUAGAGAUUGGAGGCAUGGGGCUGAAAAGCUUGUGGAAUUUUUCAAUCUAUCUCAGUCAUGUAUGAUUUGAUGGCGCUAUCUUCACUUGUUUUGCUGGAAAUUUCGGAUUUGAUUUGAUUUAGAUCAUGUGUUCUUCGUAGACAUUAGAGAGGAGAAACAUGUUGUUCUUGUGUUCUUAUUCGUUCAGAACCAAACUAGACUUAAUUACGACUUAGUCCUUGUAGUUUAACACAACUAGUUAGCUAAUCCUUGUAGUUUAACAAACUAUGUUUUUUUAUUUUUUUUUAAUAUGCUUGUAACUUGGUCUUUCUGUCAA